Limulus polyphemus (Atlantic horseshoe crab) is the source of this 89-nucleotide long non-coding RNA. RefSeq lists it as uncharacterized. Lineage: Eukaryota; Metazoa; Arthropoda; Merostomata; Xiphosura; Limulidae. The record is from RefSeq and is a predicted model, not a curated record. The transcript is spliced from 3 exons.
AUUACAAGUAUUGUUUGUAUUUAAGCACAAAGCUACACAAUGGGCUAGCUGUGCUCUGUCUAAAAUGAGAAUCGAAACCCGACUUCUAG